CCUAGAGAUCAUCUUCCUCAUUCCCUCUCACCUCUCUCUCUAAAAUCCUAGCCGCCCCAACACCCUUCUCCGGUGGCCCGUCUCCAAUCACCCUCAAAUUAACACCCUACACUCCUCAUCUCGCAUCUUUCCACGAUACACCACCACUUUCUCCAAAAUCCCCGUCUAAAUCAUUAAAUUUCGGAUCUGGAAAUCAAACCCUAGCCGUCCCUGUUUGAUUUUUGUUUUAGGUCAUUUGGGUUCGAAAUCGACAUCAGUCGAUUGCUCUUGAUAAGAACAAUCUAUUGAUGGCAGUUUUUGACUCAUCACUUGGCCACCGGAGUCCGGUCAUAUUUCGCCACUGCCUUCGUCCGCCAUUGUUGCUUCGAUCGUUGUUUCUUAAGGUUAAAUGGUAUUUGAUCACCAGUUGAUUUAAGACAUUGGAUUUGAUCACCAGUUGAUCAAAUCCAUUACUGGACAAAUUUUGAGCCCAAAUCAGAUAGUAAUGAAGUGAAUGAAGUGCUGUGGAUUCAGAUUGAUUAAGUUAACAAGCCCAGGCUAGGCCGGAAUGGGAACAUAGCUUUCACGUUAAUGAAAUUGUGGGUUGUAGUUGUUAUAGUAGUUCAUCAAGUGCAGUAAAUUCAAUCAGUUAUAAUUCUGUAAUUUUGUUCUUAUUAUGGUUGUAAUUUAAUUGAAAGGCCAUUUAGUUGUAAUUUGAGUUUCCUGUUGUAUGAGUAGUUCAUCUUUUAGUUCUUGAGUA
This is a long non-coding RNA of Nicotiana tabacum (common tobacco), 739 nucleotides long. RefSeq lists it as uncharacterized. The record is from RefSeq and is a predicted model, not a curated record. Lineage: Eukaryota; Viridiplantae; Streptophyta; Magnoliopsida; Solanales; Solanaceae.